This is a non-coding RNA of Hydra vulgaris (swiftwater hydra), 934 nucleotides long. The record is from RefSeq and is a predicted model, not a curated record. Lineage: Eukaryota; Metazoa; Cnidaria; Hydrozoa; Anthoathecata; Hydridae.
AAAAUCAAUUACGGCUCGCUUUUUUUCAAGUUAAAAAUAAAUAAACACUAAUCAAAAGUUUACAAAGAUUUUACCAAAAUGAUUUGAAAGGUACAUACCUACCUAUCCGUAAUAUGAGGAUUUACAAGAGGAAGGACGGGAGUCAUGAUUAUUGUUCCAUUCAGAAACUCAGUUGUCAGCGGCCCUUCAAUGGUACUAUGACUUUGCUAAAAGCAUCUAAAAAGUUUAAAAUUCCAUAUGGAACAUUGCACAACAGAAUGAAAGGUAAACAUGGAAAAAAAGUUGGACAUCCAGUUGCACUUUUUUCUAAUUGUGAGAAUCACCUUUUGAAGGCAAUAAACGUUCUUUGUAAUUGGAAAAUGCCUGUUGAUGGAUUAGAUAUUCGUUUAAUGGUCAAACAUUAUCUGGAUCACUCUGGUGUUAAAAACAGAUAGUUUAACAACAAUUUACCAGGGAUCAAUUGGAUGCUAAAUUUUAUCAAACGCCAUAAGCUGGCAACACGCAUUGCUGACAAUGUAAAACCUUCAUGCGCAGAGGUUUGAGAACUAACUGUGAAUGCUUACUCCGAUGAAUUAGUGAAAAUAUUAGAAGGCGUUGAACCCUGUAAAAUUUAUAACUAUGACGAGACUAAUCUUUCGGAUGACCCUGGCGCAAAAUCGAUCAUAUGCAGACGAGGACUUAAAAGAGUCGAACGUAAAAUGCAACACUCAAAGAGUUGUUGUCUUUUUUUGUUGUCACAUUUUCCUGGGUUAUUGUUGAAGUUGAAUCAAAGAUUAAAAGAACAAAACCUGAUUUCUGGCUUUUCGGCUUGCAGAAUAUCUCCAGUUAACAGAGAGGAAGUCAAGAAAAGACUGCCAAAUGAGAAUCGAGAUGUUGGUGGUGAAAAGAUUUAAGAAAUCUUUGGUACGAUUGCUCAGGAAAUGCUAAAAGAUCA